Rattus norvegicus (Norway rat) is the source of this 69-nucleotide non-coding RNA. Lineage: Eukaryota; Metazoa; Chordata; Mammalia; Rodentia; Muridae. The record is from Rfam.
GGGGAUUUAGCUCAGUGGUAGAGCGCUUGCCUAGCAAGAGCAAAGCCCUGGGUUCGGUCCCCAGCUCUG